This 340-nucleotide ribosomal RNA is filed under the name Aquibacillus halophilus. Its description in RNAcentral is "partial 23S ribosomal RNA". It matches the Rfam family "Bacterial large subunit ribosomal RNA", at positions 387 to 728 of the family's 2925-position model. The record is from RNAcentral. Lineage: Bacteria; Bacillati; Bacillota; Bacilli; Caryophanales; Bacillaceae.
GUGUUUCCUCCAGAGUGGAUCCUGAGUACGGCGGAACACGAGAAAUUCCGUCGGAAUCCGGGAGGACCAUCUCCCAAGGCUAAAUACUUCCUAGUGACCGAUAGUGAACCAGUACCGUGAGGGAAAGGUGAAAAGCACCCCGGAAGGGGAGUGAAAUAGAUCCUGAAACCGUGUGCCUACAAGUAGUCGGAGUCCGUUAAUGGAUGACGGCGUACCUUUUGUAGAAUGGACCGGCGAGUUACGAUCUCCUGCAAGGUUAAGCAGCAUAUGCGGAGCCGCAGCGAAAGCGAGUCUGAAUAGGGCGAAUGUAGUAGGGGGUCGUAGACCCGAAACCGUGUGA